This 327-nucleotide ribosomal RNA is filed under the name uncultured eukaryote. Its description in RNAcentral is "partial 18S ribosomal RNA". It matches the Rfam family "Eukaryotic small subunit ribosomal RNA", at positions 1470 to 1796 of the family's 1831-position model. The record is from RNAcentral.
CCCUUAGAUGUUCUGGGCCGCACGCGCGCUACACUGACGAAUGCAACGAGCUUAUAACCUUGGCCGAAAGGUCUGGGUAAUCUCCAAAUUUCGUCGUGAUGGGGAUAGAUUAUUGCAAUUAUUAAUCUUCAACGAGGAAUGCCUAGUAAGCGCAAGUCAUCAGCUUGCGUUGAUUACGUCCCUGCCCUUUGUACACACCGCCCGUCGCUCCUACCGAUUGAAUGGUCCGGUGAAGCGUUCGGACCGUGGCCUUUGGACGGUUCGCCGUCUGUUGGCUGCGGGAAGUUCGUUAAACCUUAUCAUUUAGAGGAAGGAGAAGUCGCAACA